RNAcentral lists this ribosomal RNA (499 nucleotides) under uncultured bacterium. Its description in RNAcentral is "partial 16S ribosomal RNA". It matches the Rfam family "Bacterial small subunit ribosomal RNA", at positions 28 to 507 of the family's 1533-position model. The record is from RNAcentral.
GACGAACGCUGGCGGCGUGCUUAACACAUGCAAGUCGAACGGGCCUGUCUUCUUUUUUGGGGGUGGGUUGAGUGGCGAACGGGUGAGUAUCACGUGAGUAACCUGCCCUUCGGUCCUGGAUAACCGCUUGAAAGGGCGGCUAAUACGGGGUGGUCCGGUUGGUCCGCAUGGGCUGGUCGGGAUAGAUUCCCUGUUUUUGGUGUUUCGGCGGGGGAUGGGCUCGCGGCCUAUCAGCUGGUUGGUGGGGUGAUGGCCUACCAAGGCGGUGACGGGUAGCCGGGCGGAGAGGGUGGGAGGCCACACGGGGACCGAGAUACGGACCAGACUGCUGCGGGAGGGAGCAGUGGGGGGUAGUGCACAAGGGGCGGAAGCCUGAUGCAGCGACGUGGCGUGAGGGAGGGAGGCCUUCGGGUUGUGAACCUCUGUUUCCGGUGGUGAAGGCCCUGUCCGUGUGGUGGGGUUGACGGUAGCCGGGGAUGAAGCGCCGGCUAACUACGUG